This is a long non-coding RNA of Scylla paramamosain (green mud crab), 227 nucleotides long. RefSeq lists it as uncharacterized. The transcript has 3 exons. The record is from RefSeq and is a predicted model, not a curated record. Lineage: Eukaryota; Metazoa; Arthropoda; Malacostraca; Decapoda; Portunidae.
GAGAGGAACGAAGGAGAAGCAGUUAGAGGAGAUCCACUCACGGGAUUCUGCGUUGUUGAUUUGUGUGUGGAAGUAUCAAGGGUUUGCCUGCCUCCAUUGUUGCUCGUCUGCUGAAAUAAGUUGGAAUCUUUGCCACGGUGCCUGUCUCUCUGUGCUCAGGUUUAUUGGAGCUCUCAGGUUGUACCCCAGCAGGCCCCUCUUCAGGUCCAGCGGGUUCUCUGGUAAGU